RNAcentral lists this ribosomal RNA (440 nucleotides) under uncultured bacterium. RNAcentral describes it as "partial 16S ribosomal RNA". It matches the Rfam family "Bacterial small subunit ribosomal RNA", at positions 338 to 795 of the family's 1533-position model. The record is from RNAcentral.
CCUACGGGUGGCAGCAGUGGGGAAUAUUGCACAAUGGGGGAAACCCUGAUGCAGCGACGCCGCGUGAAGGAAGAAGUAUUUCGGUAUGUAAACUUCUAUCAGCAGGGAAGAAAAUGACGGUACCUGACUAAGAAGCCCCGGCGAACUACGUGCCAGCAGCCGUGGUAAUACGUAGGGGGCAAGCGUUAUCCGGAGUUACUGGGUGUAAAGGGAGCGUAGGCGGCGGUGCAAGUCAGAGGUGAAAGCCCGGGGCUCAACUCCGGGACUGCUUUUGAAACUGCGUUGCUAGAGUGCAGGCGAGGUAGGUGGAAUUCCUAGUGUAGCGGUGAAAUGCGUAGAUAUUAGGAGGAACACCAGUGGCGAAGGCGGCUUACUGGACUGUAAAUGACGCUGAGGCUCGAAAGCGUGGGGAGCAAACAGGAUUAGAUACCCCGGUAGUC